RNAcentral lists this non-coding RNA (280 nucleotides) under Neocallimastix californiae. Its description in RNAcentral is "Eukaryotic large subunit ribosomal RNA". It matches the Rfam family "Eukaryotic large subunit ribosomal RNA", at positions 675 to 950 of the family's 3401-position model. The record is from Rfam by way of RNAcentral. Lineage: Eukaryota; Fungi; Neocallimastigomycota; Neocallimastigomycetes; Neocallimastigales; Neocallimastigaceae.
CUAAUAAAUAUGCGAGUAUUUGAGUGUUAAAACUCAUAUGCGUAAUGAAAGUGAUUUUGGAGGGGAUUUUCGAUGCACCAUCCACCGAUCAAGAUUUUUUAUGAGCGUUCUGAGUCAUAGCAUAUUUAUUGGAACCUGAGAGAUGAUGAACUAGAACUAUACCUGAAUAGGGUGAAGUCAGAGGAAACCAUAAAAGGAGGCUCAUAGAGGUUCUGACGUACAAAUUGAUCAUCAAAAUUUGAAUAUAGGGGCGAAAGACUCUUGGACAUUUGAAUGAGAG